This 253-nucleotide ribosomal RNA is filed under the name uncultured bacterium. Its description in RNAcentral is "partial 16S ribosomal RNA". It matches the Rfam family "Bacterial small subunit ribosomal RNA", at positions 524 to 776 of the family's 1533-position model. The record is from RNAcentral.
UACGUAGGAGACGAGCGUUGUCCGGAAUUACUGGGCGUAAAGCGCGUGUAGGCGGACAGGCAAGUCUGCUGUGAAAGCUCCUGGCUUAACCGGGAGUGGUAGGUGGAAACUACAGGACUAGAAUCUGGCAGAGGGGGGUGGAAUUCCACGUGUAGCAGUGAAAUGCGUAGAGAUGUGGAGGAACACCGAUGGCGAAGGCAGCCCCCUGGGCUGAGAUUGACGCUCAGGCACGAAAGCGUGGGGAGCAAACAGG